CCUAGAAUGAGUAUGCUUCAGAAAAAAGAAAAACAAAACCUAGAGUGAAUUUGAUUCAUUUGAACCGAGAAUUGUAAUAGAUUCAAAAUUUCUCUGAUCUACUUCAUAUCAGUGAUGUUUCCUUAAUCCAAUUGAAUGAUUGAACUAUCACUAACCCAUUUUCCUUAAUCCAAUUGAAUGAUUGAACCGUCACUAACCCAAAAAAAAAACCCAACUUUUUCUGCCACACAAGAACAAACAUAUAAGUAUUUUUAACUUCUUAUUUCCUAGAUCUCCAUUAAAAUAGCUAUUCUUCUGAUCACUUUUUUUUAUUUUGAUUGGAGUUCAUAUCUCCUUCUACCGAGACGAUAAACGAUGUAACAAUGAGUGAUAUAUCUUGGAUCAGUAUUACCUACAGAUUACAGUUAGUAACUUAAAGGGCUAAGAAAUAAUUAAGAAUAUAUUAGAAGUAUCUAAUCUACGUAUUUUGAUGACUGGAAAAUCCAACGGCCCUAAGGUACGACCGUUUUUGUUCAGUUAUGCGAACGACCGUGUCAUAGCACCACUCAGGCACGAGAUGCAUCGCCCUAAUCUUUUCUAAGCCCUAAUCUUCGACCAACAACAUCAGAGCAGCUUUGCACCUGAGAUCCAAGGAACAUGAAGGAUAAGAAAAACAGGGCUGUUUAUAGGAAACCUGGCUUAUACAAUGACACAUAAAAACAAGUUUUAUGUCGCCUGAAGGCCUUCAGAAACUUGCUGAAGCAAUAAAGCAAUACAUUUGGACACGUUAAAAGAAAACCUGCAGGUGAUGUUCUGUUCCAGCUAGCGUAGAUGUUAACUAUGUGUAGGAAGAUAUUACCUAUUUUCUGACAUGCAUUGAACUCCUACUGGUAUAAAUCUAUAAACCAUAACUUUUGUGUUUUUCAUGUUUGUUCUGCUGGUUGUCAUGCAUAAGGUUAAAUCCCAGCGCGAUGCAUCCAUGAAAGUUUUUAAAUGGCAUGGCGGAUAUCCAGUUGCAAAGGUUAGUGAUAGUUGGAAAAGAUUUUGCUCUCGUGCUGCUAGAUCAAUUUUGAUCUAGCAGCACCGUGGCCAAUCAUUUGGCCCUUCCUGACAUCAGCAAACCGGGAUUUUAACCUCAGUUAACUUCCCCUAUUUUAGGUGAUAUUUUGCAGCCGUUUUUUUAGCUAACGUACCUUCAGUUUAGCAAACCAAGGAAAAUCUUCUCCUUUUAUACUGAUUUGGUAGAGAACAAAUCCAAAUUUAUACAUAUUUUCUUUGAUCUUAAUUAGAUCAAAAUUUUCUUCUUUUGCUUGCGAGAACUGAAGCAUGCGCAUACAGUAGUACAACACUUCUUAAAUUUUUUCUUUUUGCCAUGUGCCAAAUUUGCUCAUGUCCAAAAAAUGGACCUCCCUUCAGUGGAACUAAGUUAUUAUAGCCGUAUUGAGAAGUUUUUUAAGAAGAUGAAAAUAGUCCCGUGUGUUCUUCCUCUCCGUGUCUACUAAUUGUAAGAGACUAUGUUCAAAAAUGCACCACGAAUCCAGUGAAAUACUUCACUAUGUACACAGGUGUAAUAUAGACUCAGUGGUAAGAAACUGAGCAACUAAUUCAAAGAAAAGAAGAACAAAAAAGCAAUGGUUGGAACUAGAAAGGGUUACUUCUUCUACUUAUGAAUCAUUGUAUAUUACUUCUUCUAUGUCUGAAUGUAUAUGUAAAUUCAAAUUUAUGUCAGUCGUAUAAAAGGCUCUGAAGCAACAGAGGAGAAACCGAGAAACUAUUGCAUUUUAUAUACAGCUACGCAAAUAGCAUCCCAGUUCUAGUGGUUGAGGACACCAUGUCUGAAUUUGAGAAGCUGCACGAGAAGUUCCAUGUUCCAGUACCCGCGUACUUAUAAUAUGGGGAGCCUUUCAAAUACUGAUGUGCACUUCUUUUCUGAGUCGAGCUGAGCCGUAAGCUUGAUUUGGUACUCUUGUAUAUUUACGGAUUUGUCAACAUAUCUUGAAGCCAAGUUCGUUCAGGAGGAUGAUAAAUUUGUUGGUUAGAGUGGAAGAUUUUGAUGGUGCUUACAACAUGCUAAGUGAUAUGAAAGAAAUGGGCGUAAUGCAUCAACAACAGUUAGAUUUGGAGUCGUGAAGGUGAAAGGUCAAGAAUCUUAUCAGGGUCAGAAAAAAAACCUUCAAGGGGUCUCAUGGUUUAAAAUUUCUCUUAAUUCUUAUUAUAUUUUUUUUUCAUAAUUUUUCCUUCCUCAUGUUCUAUGAUUUCCAUUAAAUACGAACUUCUGUGUAGUUGACGAAUAUGAGCGACAUUUGUACCCGUCUGGUGAUAAUCAUUUCGAUGAGGUAAAUCACGCGUGGUAGUGGAGAUUUCAAGGUCCUAAUGUAUCGCUUACAAAAAAAAAGGAAAAUAUUGAACAAUCAGUUCUAGAAGAUACCUGAAAAUGGUGUUGACGUGCAUGUAAAAGGGUUUCUAUUGGAGAAGCAUACAUUCUUUUGUUACUUUUACACCAUUAUUUUGAUUUCGUCGAGAGGAAUCACUUAUUAAGGAGAUGUCGCUGGAGUUGGUGUUCCUUCUUCUUCUGAUUUUUUUUUAACAACAAUUGAUUUCGGUGUUCCAGUGCUUCAGGGUUGCCACAUUACAUCAAAACUUCAUAAUCCAAGUAUUUUUGAUGGUAGCCUAGCUACCAAGGUGAUUAGAAGGAGCGUAUCUGUGUAAGUAUGUCUUACACUACAUUGUUCGUACUAUCAAACCGUUUUACUGACUCUUUUGGUUUGCUCUAAAGCAUUUCAAUACAUUAUCUUACUUUUUUUAUUUUACUGAUAUAAGCAUUUUGGAACUUAUACCGUUUUCUGUUGUAUAAUGGUUCUGGGAUAGUGUUAAUAUUGUGUGUUGCUGAUCACUUUGCAACAUGCCCAGUUCCCAUUAUCUCCGAAUACGCAAUAAGUAUGCAUUUUUGACAUCCCUAUAUUUUUUUGUUUGGCUACUGCAAUUCAUGGAUUUGGUUGAUACAGGGAUGUGCCUCAAUGGUCAUCGUUCAGCUUUGUGAAUCUUAAAUUUGUAAGUAUUGCUGCUAGCUGUCCUAAAUUAAAAGAUGUAUCAUGGUUGAUCUAUUCUCAGAAUCUCGAAACACUUGAAUUGUGUAACAUAGAUAAAUUAGAUGAAAUAAUCUUACUGAUAGGUUUGCGGAGUAACGCAUGUUGAUUAAUAACGUAUUUUCAAGAUUAAAAUAUCUGAAAUUGAACGAGCCAAGGAAUCUAUAGAAGAUAUUUGAGAAAAGUUAAGAUUGAUUCAAGGUGCCAAGGAGGCAAAAAAAAAGUACAAACAAUAAUACACUCUACCAUCGAAGAGACUGGAGGUGCCAAAAACGAAAGUAAAGUGUUUGGGAAUCUAAAGAAAAUAUGUAAUCAUAAUGUGAAAUUCUUAAGUUUGGAGUCUAUUACAGUGAAGGCGUGUCCACAACCACAACUGAGGAAAAUAUGUAAUCAAAAUGUCAUUCCUAACACUUCACAAUGGAUUGAAGGACAUCGAUGAAACUACCGAAUCUAAUCUUUCUCCUUAUUUUGGUA
This is a long non-coding RNA of Papaver somniferum (opium poppy), 3539 nucleotides long. RefSeq lists it as uncharacterized. The record is from RefSeq and is a predicted model, not a curated record. The transcript has 8 exons. Lineage: Eukaryota; Viridiplantae; Streptophyta; Magnoliopsida; Ranunculales; Papaveraceae.